This 1573-nucleotide ribosomal RNA is filed under the name Ornamentula paraensis. RNAcentral's name for it is "eukaryotic LSU rRNA". It matches the Rfam family "Eukaryotic large subunit ribosomal RNA", at positions 39 to 1369 of the family's 3401-position model. Lineage: Eukaryota; Metazoa; Gastrotricha; Chaetonotida; Dasydytidae. The record is from RNAcentral.
CAUAUCACUAAGCGGAGAAAAAGAAAAUAACAAUGAUUCCUAGAGUAACGGCGAGUGAAAUAGGAAAAGCCCAUAGCCGAAUUCUGCUGUCCUCGAUGGCAGCUAGAAGUUGUGGCGUUGGGAACUGCCUUUUUGUAACCGAUCGGUCGGGCUACGCGACUCCUCUUGAUUGUGGUUUGCCCAUAGCAGGUGAAAGGCCUAUUGUUCGUAGCCUCGUUUUGAAGGCCGGCGGUGAUGGCAGUCCUUAGAGUCGGUUUGUUUGGGAUUGCAGACCGAAGUAGGUGGUAAACUCCACCUAAGGCUAAAUACGAUCGCGAGUCCGAUAGCGCACAAGUACCGUGAGGGACAGUUGAAAAGAACUUUGAAGAGAGAGUUCAAAGUACGUGAAACCGUUCAGAGGUAAACGGGUAGAAAGUCGAAUUAAAGGUUGACAAUCAAGCCGUUGGCUUAGUCUAAGUUGGGCUAAUGGCACGUUAAUGGCUAUUAGUCUGCUUGUAAGGCUAGCUACGGUUGUAUUUGUUGAUUUUGGAUCGCCGCAACGGCAGUGUCUGACCGGCUGGCGUUUAUUCCUCUGGUUAAUGUAGAUCCGUAUGGAUCUUUUAACAUUGGCACACGGAUAAACGCCCCGCGUACACAGCACAGUCGAUAUUCAUUAAAAGCAGUUUAAGUGUUCCAACUGGUUAUCGUUCGUUUUGUAUUGGCAGUCUGAUCUUAAACAAGUUCAACUGUUGAUAUCAGGGCGGCGUUAGCUAGCUUAACGACGGAGCAAAGACUGCAUUGGCGGCGUUAGACUACGAAUUAUCUACCUGACCCGUCUUGAAACACGGACCAAGGAGUCUAGCAUAUGCGCAAGCCAUUGGGAUUAUUCAUUGAAACCCAAAGGCGAAGUGAAAGCAAAAAUGGUGAGAUCUGUCGUUAAUUUGUUAAAAAUAACGGCAGCGCAUCAUCGUCACGCCUCGUUUCGGCUUCGGCUGAUGAGGCGCAGACUGAGCGCAUAGGUUGGGACCCGAAAGAUGGUGAACUAUGCGAGGCGAGGUCGAAGCCAGAGGAAACUCUGGUGGAGGACUGUAGCGGUUCUAACGUGCAAAUUGAUCGUCGCAGCUUCGUAUAGGGGCGAAAGACUAAUCGAACCAUCUAGUAGCUGGUUCCCUCCGAAGUUUCCCUCAGGAUAGCUGGCACUUUCGGAGAGCAGUUUUGUCCGGUAAAGCGAAUGACUAGAGGCCUUGGGGACAUAACGACCUCAACCUAUUCUCAAACUUUGAAUGGGCAAGAAGAGAGACUCACUUAAUUGGAGUCUUUAUUAUUAUUGCGAAUGCUUGAGUGCCAAGUGGGCCAUUUUUGGUAAGCAGAACUGGCGCUGUGGGAUGAACCAAACGUUUAGCUAAGGCGCCAAAUGCUAACGCUCAUCCGAACCCAUUAAAGGUGUUGGUUGAUAGAGACAGCAGGACGGUGGCCAUGGAAGUCGGAACCCGCCAAGGAGUGUGUAACAACUCACCUGCCGAAUCAACCAGUCCUGAAAAUGGAUGGCGCUGAAGCGUUGUGAGCCUAUGCUAAACCGGCAUUGCAAAUUUUA